Molecule: long non-coding RNA, 941 nt
Organism: Rhagoletis zephyria (snowberry fruit fly)
Lineage: Eukaryota; Metazoa; Arthropoda; Insecta; Diptera; Tephritidae
Source: RefSeq, a predicted model, not a curated record
UGUGUCGGAUGUACUUUGAUAGUCAAGUUUGAAAGUGCGGUAGAGUACCAAUCGCUGACUCGCUGUGAGCAAAAAUGAAAUUAUGAUUUUUCUUUAGAUACUAAGGUGGAAAUGUUCAAUUGUGUAGUGAUAUGCUAGUGGAAAAGUGUUACUUCUUUUCAAAGAGAAAUUAGCGAUGGCAAAAUAAAUGUGCUGGAAACGUGGCUACACGAAUUGCCCGAAUAAUUCAGAUUUGAUCAAGAAAAAUUUACAUAAUUUCAGUGGUUUGUCAUUAAAAUUAAAAAAAAAAAUAGUGAUUCGAAGCUUAUAAUCGUAGAUAGUGUUAAAAAGUGCAAACGAUAAAUAGAGGAAAGAUACGUUUAAAAUAUAUGUAUGCAAUAGAUAUAUUAUACGCUAAUAUUCUGCUUUUCAACUCAGCUGUUAAAUUGCUAUUUCAAAACCUAUACGCUUGCUACGGCGUAAUACUCGUUAAGAUACAAACGAAGGCAGCUUGAUAUUAUGACGUAUAAUUGAGAGGAAUAAGGAAAUAUUCAACUGGCAUAUAUAAAAAUGCAACUAUAAAAACGCACACAUAAUGAAGAUAAUCAUAGUGCCAGCCGCAUUGAUAAGCUGCCAAAAGUUGUACGUUCCGUUGUGAUAAAUAAUUGCGAAGAGUGUGAAAUCGAUUAGUGGUUAAUAUAUGUACAUCGUGGUAGUAGAACGACCAUUUGGGAUUAGCUAAGGGAACUUAACAGCCUGUGAUUCAAUCAUACGAAAAAGACAUGUGGGAGAGCCGCUACGCAAUACAAACUUAUAAUUUUGAAGUGGAUGCUGCAAAUAAUAUACCGGAUACUAAGGAAGUGGAAAUAUUUGUGAUUCGUGACCAUACAACUAAGUUUAAUUUAGUAAAAAAGCACACAUUUCGAGAGGAAAUCUAAAAAAAUUUUCCUGAGAGUCACAAA